This 491-nucleotide long non-coding RNA is filed under the name Homo sapiens (human). RNAcentral describes it as "SIPA1L1 antisense RNA 1, transcript variant 10 (SIPA1L1-AS1)". Lineage: Eukaryota; Metazoa; Chordata; Mammalia; Primates; Hominidae. The record is from RNAcentral.
AACACGAUUACUGGUCCACCUAGAAAUGCCGUGGAGCGAUUUAAGAGCCUCGGAAAUUUCCUUUAAGGUCAGGAGAGAAGCUGGUAACAGAUGGGGCGAAGGAGGAAAAGUUCUUUUUGCGGCACCCUCACGCCUUCCCAGCCCUUUCGCGGUUUACUCGCUCCCCGGAAAGCAGACUAGUCUCACUCUGUUGCCCAGGCUGGAGUGCAGUGGCGCGAUCUCAGCUUACUUCAGCCUCCGCCUCCCGGUUUCAAGUGAAUUCUCCAGCCUCAACUUCACAAGUAGCUGGGAUUACAGCCACUUUUUAUCUUCUCUCCUGCAAUCCAACCCACAUAAUUUCCAUGAAGAAAGCGGAGUGGUGUCAUUUUACAACAAGAAAACUGAGUUAAGAAUAAGUCCAAUCAAUUGCUAGGUGUUGAGACUGAAAUGGAAGUCUCUUAGUACUCCACCCAAGGAUUUUCAUAUUAAACAAUUAUCUUGUCAUCAUUUUA